RNAcentral lists this long non-coding RNA (2545 nucleotides) under Equus caballus (horse). Its description in RNAcentral is "lncRNA (ENSECAG00000059425.1)". Lineage: Eukaryota; Metazoa; Chordata; Mammalia; Perissodactyla; Equidae. The record is from RNAcentral.
GGCUCAUCCUACUUGAGCUGAUGGAGUUAUUUUUAAGGUUUCUUCUUAUCCUGAUCUCCUGAUAAUCACAAAACCCCUACAUUUUAUGGAAUAUGGGCUGUUUAUGGGGGUUGUGAGGUAGGUCACCACGUAGACAGGCCUCGGCCCCUGUGACAUCAUGGGAUAGCAUGGAACUUUGAAUCAGGUUUUAGAUGCCAUUCCUUACCACCUUGAUACCAGGAGCAUCUUGAGGUCAGCACAUUCCCCUAAAGGGUCUGUGUAGAAUGAGAGCAGCUGGAAACCACACAGAACAGGAUGCAUAAGAAAUAGGAAGUAGAAGCAUGGAAGGAGGGGAUGAUCCCCUGAAAACGAGAGACGUGUACUGGCCACAGCAAGCUUAGGAUGACGUCCAGAGUGAACGCACGGGGCUAGGAGUAAACACUGGACUUGGUGAAUAAGGGAGGACAUGUGCAGGUAAUUGUUUCCUGAACUAGAAAGUCUCUGAUCUGGCUUGUGAAUUCAGUCAAUCAAAAAGAGCACUUCGAUCUUAUAAAACCAACUGAAAGAACCACUUCUCCUCGUUUGUAUGAAGAGAAGUCAGUAAGGAGUGACUCUCAGAAGACAACUGGAGUGAGGAUACAUGGUGCCACCAUGCCCCCACAAAGCUGAAUAAAGUCUCCCCUGGUCCAGGAUCCCAGUCCUGCCUGAGACCCAGGACAUAAAUACGUUCUACGGUGGGAUCAGGGUCAUCAAGGUCUGCAUGGUCCCUGUUUCUCUUCUACCCUGAGCUCUUCCUUCUGACUCUCACAGCAACAGCACCUCCCAAGGUUCCAGCUUCCCUUCAAAGUCACUGUGGGAGUGUUUCUCUGACUCUACAGAAAGCACCAUCCCUGGAAUGCAGUACGCUGCAGCUGCUCCAAGGCAGCCAUUUGGGGCUGAGAAAGCAGCUCUCCACUGCUUCCUCCAAAGGCAGGAGCAGCCCAGUGGCAGGACUGCCCAUGAGUCUCCUCGUCAACAGACCCUGAGCCUCUGAUGUAAGAAGCCAGAUGUGAUGGAGAUAGGUAGGCUCUGCUUACUGCCUGUCACUCUGAGACUGGCCUUCUCUCAAGGGAGAGCUCGACGUCACCAUUGUUGGUGAGUUUCAUUUUAGUACACCAGGUGUAAAAAUAACCGCUCAUCCCAGACUGGAGGACUCGGUUUCUGGGUGCUCUUGAGUCAGCCUUCCUGAGUUCUCAAACAUAUUUAAUGGGAAGUUGGGAGGGGAAGAGUUAAUGACCAUGAGCACAAAUUCACUUUCAACUGCUGUUACCAUGACAAACUGUUACCAUGACAAUUUAAAAGUUAUUUUGAACAACCAAAAAGAGUCACAGUACUCAGAACUUGUGAAGCCUGGUCCCUUUCUAUGUCACAAUGAGAAGAUUAUUGGGCCAGAACUGGCUGGAGUCAGAUACGAGCAGAUGUCUGGCACCAGCAUCUUUAGGUCCAGAGAGCGAUUGAGGACACAGAGUCAGGAGCUUCCCUGAGUCUGAGGAAAGGGACAGGAGAAACUAGGAGGGCUUCUUGGUUUCUGCUUGUGCUAGAACAUCCUGUAGCCACCAACCCAGAAGCCAUGGCUCAGCGUACAGGAGAAGCAACAGUAGGGAGAGACUCUCAGACUGUGACUGCCCAGCUCUGUGGGUUUGGAGGCAGAAGGAUGGGAAAACAACUUCCCUGAGACCAGUCUCCACUUCUCCACUCAGCACAAGCCAGGCCUUAGGCAACUGCCCUGGUGUUGCAGCUGAAUACACCUGCUUCAGAGUGUGCGUUUGUGGACAGUUUGUCUCAAGGCAAUGAGACUCCAGCACCUCCCUACCUAUUCUGUCCUCUAACAACCAAGUUAGUGACAGUGUUGAACUUUACCUGAGCCCUGUGCUCCAAAAAAACAGCUAGGCUUAAGAAAUCCUCCAAUCUUUUGUUUGGGGAAACCCUCCCCCCCAACAUCUGUCUUCUAGGAAACAGCUUAACUCAAAAAAUUACCCUUCCCCAUGGCUUAGAUAAGACUCGCUGUCCACUGUUUCUCAUGGCUCCCAUAAGAGUCAAGGAUGGCUCCCUUGUUUACCUUUGGCAAGGCCAGACACAGACCCUUUUGCCUGAACCUGCUGACAAGGCUACACACAGACACUCCAACUUCUUGUUCUUUGAGUAACUGAGAUUAGAAGUGUCUGUCUCGCUGAAACUAGCUAACCACAGAGGAAAACGGUUGCUGGUCAGAUAACUUAGACUUGCCCUUCUUGCAAACAACUCCACCUGCAACUUGGUUAUCCCUUACUACAGAGGACGAAGGUAGAACCAAUCUGCCGAGACACUCUGAUCUGUGGAUCUGGGGUGCCCUCCCUGUUGCAAUAACCUAAAUAAAGUCUUCUCCUUAACUGCCCACUGUGUUUUCUCUUUGACACUAGGCUACCUCCUGCCAGGCCAAAGCCACCAUCCCACAUAUCCCCCUUCCAAACUGUCCCCCUGGACCUCAUUGCCAUGUUUUUCUCCAUUUUCCUUCUCUAAUCCUACCAGGGUUGAUCUGGGAGGCUAG